UCGGCUCCGGUUCACGCUCCCGCAAAUCCGCGUCUGCGACCCGGCGCC
RNAcentral lists this non-coding RNA (48 nucleotides) under Streptomyces sp. HmicA12. RNAcentral describes it as "L31-Actinobacteria ribosomal protein leader". It matches the Rfam family "L31-Actinobacteria ribosomal protein leader". The record is from RNAcentral. Lineage: Bacteria; Bacillati; Actinomycetota; Actinomycetes; Kitasatosporales; Streptomycetaceae.